UAAAGCGGCGAACGGGUGAGUAACACGUGAGCAAUCUGCCCCUCGGUGGGGGAUAAGCCUUCGAAAGGGGGUCUAAUACCGCAUAACAUUCCUGGAUGGCAUCAUCCGGGAAUCAAAGAUGGCCUCUGCUUGCAAGCCAUCACCGGGGGAUGAGCUCGCGCUCCAUUAGCCUGUUGGUGGGGUAAUGGCCUACCAAAGCUACGAUGGAUAACCGGCCUGAGAGGGUAAACGGUCACACUGGGACUGAGAUACGGCCCAGACUCCUACGGGAGGCAGCAGUAGGGAAUCUUGCGCAAUGGACGAAAGUCUGACGCAGCAACGCCGCGUGUGGGAUGAAGCUCCUUGGAGCGUAAACCACUGUCAGGAGGGACGAACGAUUUUGGCCUUAAUAUGGCCUUGGUUUGACGGUACCUCCAGAGGAAGCUCCGGCUAACUCCGUGCCAGCAGCCGCGGUAAUACGGGGGGAGCAAGCGUUGUUCGGAAUCACUGGGCGUAAAGGGUGCGUAGGCGGGAGAUUAGGUCGGAUGUGAAAACCUCGGGCUCAACCCGGGGCCUGCAUUCGAAACCAGUCUUCUUGAGUAUCGGAGAGGGAAGCGGAACUCCAGGUGUAGCGGUGAAAUGCGUAGAUAUCUGGAGGAACACCGGUGGCGAAGGCGGCUUCCUGGACGAAUACUGACGCUCAGGCACGAAGGCUAGGGGAGCAAACAGGAUUAGAUACCCUGGUAGUCCUAGCGGUAAACGAUGGGCACUAGGUAUC
RNAcentral lists this ribosomal RNA (757 nucleotides) under uncultured bacterium. Its description in RNAcentral is "bacterial SSU rRNA". It matches the Rfam family "Bacterial small subunit ribosomal RNA", at positions 91 to 824 of the family's 1533-position model. The record is from RNAcentral.